Molecule: transfer RNA, 77 nt
Filed under: Candidatus Latescibacterota bacterium
Lineage: Bacteria; Pseudomonadati; Candidatus Latescibacterota
Description: tRNA-Val
Rfam family: tRNA
About the family: Transfer RNA (tRNA) molecules are approximately 80 nucleotides in length.
Source: RNAcentral
GGGCGAUUAGCUCAGUUGGUCAGAGCGCCUGCCUUACAAGCAGGAUGUCCCCAGUUCAAGUCUGGGAUCGCCCACCA